UGUGUUUUUAGGAACUCUACAAGUUUCCCCCUACUCCUCCGGACUACAUCAUCAUUGGUAAAAGACAGAAAGUGCAAACAGCAGCUAGAUCUUACUGGCUGGAGGCAAAGAUGGGGUCAUAUCUCAGGCGUAGGAUAACGUGCCUUAAAUUGGAAGGCCGUGAGGUGAUGGAAUGGUACACGAAAGAGCUCAAACGGGUUCAGAAGUCCCUUUGCAACUUCGCUGAAACUCUUGACACUGAGAUACCGAAGUUUGAGGAUUUCGAAACCCACCCGCAUUCGUAUAUCCUGAAGGACCUCGUCAUCAUCCCCAAGCCACAGUCUGCGAAGAGUGGUAGGAAGAAAUAGACCACAGUCUGCGAAGAGUGACAAGAAGUUUAGGGCAGAAAGAAAUAGACCUUUGAGCUCAUCGUCUGUUGAUUGCUUAUAUAACCUGAUGUCUUUAGUCAUGGCUGAAUGUUUUUUAUCCUGGUAUCAGACAUGCUGUAGUGCCCUGUAUGCACUUUCAGUUUGAAAUUAUGUGUGCUAUCUGUGAUUUGCAUCUCCAAUGCCAGUUAUUAUAAUGCUUAAUUCUUGUUUCAUUUCC
Triticum urartu is the source of this 585-nucleotide non-coding RNA. Lineage: Eukaryota; Viridiplantae; Streptophyta; Magnoliopsida; Poales; Poaceae. The record is from RefSeq and is a predicted model, not a curated record.